AAAAAUACCAUAAUUAUUGCUCUAUUGUUUUUUUGUUUUGCAGAAAAAAGUAAAAGAAAAGCAAGAUCCAGAAACCGAGUCGCUCAACUGCCUCGAUUCCGAUUGAUCUCCGCCAUCGAAACCUUUUCUUAUUUGCCACUUAUUGCCACGCAGAACAACUGUUCAAAUCAGCUCCGACCACCACGACGUAUGCAGAUCCGACACCUCUGCCAUCACGCUUCUAGCCACCCAGACCACGAGCUUGAUUCCGACGACAUACUGCCCUCCACCACAAAACGAAGAUCUGAGGAAAUCAAAGCAGAGAAAAAGAAAUGA
This is a non-coding RNA of Vicia faba (fava bean), 315 nucleotides long. Lineage: Eukaryota; Viridiplantae; Streptophyta; Magnoliopsida; Fabales; Fabaceae. The record is from the annotation of a GenBank genome assembly.